GUCCCUGUAGAGCAAUGGAUAGCGCGUUGGACUUCUAAUCCAAAGGUCGUGGUUUCGAAUCCCACCGGGGAUG
This 73-nucleotide transfer RNA is filed under the name Trichonephila clavata. It matches the Rfam family "tRNA". From Rfam's summary of the family: Transfer RNA (tRNA) molecules are approximately 80 nucleotides in length. The record is from Rfam by way of RNAcentral. Lineage: Eukaryota; Metazoa; Arthropoda; Arachnida; Araneae; Nephilidae.